CAAUUGCUACCUACACUCCCAUCAAUUUCUCUCUGCAGCCCGUCAUUACUUUUAAAUCCAUUUCUGCCCUUGUUUGUGAAAUGGUGAAGGUAUCGAAAUCUAAAAUAAACUUCCGUAAAAUAUAAUCCAGAAUAAGGGUGAGAGGUGGGAAAUUGAUUUUUGGAUUUUUCUUUCCAGAUGCGUAGUAUAUAAUUCCGGAAAAUUAAAUCUGUAAUAAUAUUUGCGGACUAUCGCUGGACUCUUCUCCGGUGCAGGGAACACAAAGGCUUGGAACAAUAUGCCACUAGCUACACAACCAGGGAUAAAGGUGCCAUGAAAAAAAUUAGGAUUAAUGUAAAAAAAAAAAAAAAAAGGUUAAAAGGUCAGUUCUGAUAUUUUACAUGUUUGAUGGGGUGCAGGAAGAAAAAUGAUAAAGUGCGCGAAGCAAUAGCCUUGUAGAUUGGUUGCCGAAGUUACUUGGCCCUAACCCUUUGGAUUUAUUUUGUGGGAGUAGUUGGAAUUUUAA
RNAcentral lists this long non-coding RNA (505 nucleotides) under Vigna radiata. RNAcentral's name for it is "long non-coding RNA (VRAD_LNC016114)". The record is from RNAcentral. Lineage: Eukaryota; Viridiplantae; Streptophyta; Magnoliopsida; Fabales; Fabaceae.